RNAcentral lists this transfer RNA (70 nucleotides) under Hydraena gracilis. RNAcentral describes it as "tRNA-Lys". Lineage: Eukaryota; Metazoa; Arthropoda; Insecta; Coleoptera; Hydraenidae. The record is from RNAcentral.
CAUUAAAUGGCUGAGAGUAAGUACUGGUCUCUUAAACCAUAUUAUAAUAGAAUAACGCCUAUUUUUAAUG